GCUUUUCUUUUCGGAGCGCCGCAGGGGGUAUUGUUCAACCCGGGGCGCUUUCAAACGCCAUCCGUGUGGUAGAGGUAAUCACUUUCGGAGGAUCGAUAACUUUUUUCGGUGGGGAGCAUUGACCGUUCCCCCGGAAUAAAUCCCGGCCAAAUUCCUUCCCGCCACCGCGGUUAUAAGUAGGGGGCCAGCGUUUUUCUGAAUUAUUGGGGGUAAAAGGCGCGUAGGCGGUUUUGCAAAUCAUACGUUAAAGAUUCCGGCUCUACCCGGGGGAGGCGUUUGAAACUGUCUUAUUUUAGGUUCUGAGAGGGAGGGGGAAUUUCCCGUGUAGGGGUGAAAUUCCUUGAUAUUUGGAAGAACCCCCAUGGGGAAAGCGGUCUUCUUGGGCUUUCCUGACCCUUAGGCUCGAAAGCCAGGGGAGCGAACCGGCUUAGAUACCCCCGUUGUCCUCGCCCUAAACGAUGUGCACUCGGUGUUGGGGGUCUCCACUCCAUCAGUGCCGCAGCUAACGCAUAAGUAUCCGCCUGGCUCGACUGGGG
This 536-nucleotide ribosomal RNA is filed under the name uncultured bacterium. RNAcentral's name for it is "partial 16S ribosomal RNA". It matches the Rfam family "Bacterial small subunit ribosomal RNA", at positions 331 to 873 of the family's 1533-position model. The record is from RNAcentral.